UACGGGGGGGGCAAGCGUUGUUCGGAAUUACUGGGCGUAAAGGGCUCGUAGGCGGCCAACUAAGUCAGACGUGAAAUCCCUCGGCUUAACCGGGGAACUGCGUCUGAUACUGGAUGGCUUGAGUUUGGGAGAGGGAUGCGGAAUUCCAGGUGUAGCGGUGAAAUGCGUAGAUAUCUGGAGGAACACCGGUGGCGAAGGCGGCAUCCUGGACCAACACUGACACUGAGGGGCGAAAGCCAGGGGAGCAAACGGG
Molecule: ribosomal RNA, 253 nt
Filed under: uncultured bacterium
Lineage: Bacteria
Description: partial 16S ribosomal RNA
Rfam family: Bacterial small subunit ribosomal RNA
Source: RNAcentral